Molecule: long non-coding RNA, 590 nt
Filed under: Pan troglodytes (chimpanzee)
Lineage: Eukaryota; Metazoa; Chordata; Mammalia; Primates; Hominidae
Description: long non-coding RNA NONPTRT014989
Source: RNAcentral
UAUGUAGUUUUUAAUAAAUAAAUCUAAUUGGUAAUAUUUGAUAUUUAUUUUGAUCUGUGCAUGUAUUCAUUUAUUUAUCAAUAGUAUUUAUUGAUUUGUUUGCAUGAGUAGAGUUUGAGUCAAAAUUCUUUCCUUAAACUGUAGCCAGCCCUGUCACCUUAUCAAAACUGCCACAAAAUCUAAUGAAAUCAAAAUUAAACAAAACUACAUUAUAUAUUUUCAUUCAAAGGCAUCAUUUCUUCAUAAGAUCUGAAGAGCCAAAACAAAAGCAAAAGUAAUCAAUCAAACAUUUACAACAUUUUUUUUUUGCAUUACAGAAUAAUCCAGGUGGGGAAACAUGGCUAAGAAAAUAAAUAACUUACAUGAUGACAUGACUUGGCACAGACAAGGGAAGAGGAGCAAUUAAACUAUUAUUUUGCAAGUAAAAUUAAUUAUUGCCAAAAGUCUACAGGGAUAUUUCAGAAAUACUAUUCUUCACCUCAGUUCUCUACUGAAUUUUCCAGCAUGGGGAACACCUAUGUCAAUCCACAUCCUGAAUUCUAAGUUGGGUCCUAAAGCAAUUGCACAUUACAAUAUAAAGAAAGACACUU